Molecule: ribosomal RNA, 233 nt
Filed under: uncultured bacterium
Lineage: Bacteria
Description: partial 16S ribosomal RNA
Rfam family: Bacterial small subunit ribosomal RNA
Source: RNAcentral
UGAGCAAUCUGCCCUUCUCAUCGGAAUAAGCGUUGGAAACGACGUCUAAUGCCGAAUACGACCUCCUUUCGCAUGAUCGGAGGUGGAAAGCUCCGGCGGAGAAGGAUGAGCUCGCGGCCUAUCAGCUAGUUGGUGUGGGUAAUGGCCCACCAAGGCGACGACGGGUAGCCGGCCUGAGAGGGUGACCGGCCACACUGGGACUGAGACACGGCCCAGACUCCGUACGGGAGNAG